UACAGAGGUCUCAAGCGUUGUUCGGAUUCAUUGGGCGUAAAGGGUGCGUAGGUGGCGCUGUAAGUCAGGUGUGAAAUUUCGGAGCUUAACUCCGAAACUGCAUUUGAUACUGCGGUGCUUGAGGACUGGAGAGGAGAUUGGAAUUCACGGUGUAGCAGUGAAAUGCGUAGAUAUCGUGAGGAAGACCAGUGGCGAAGGCGGAUCUCUGGACAGUUCUGACACUGAGGCACGAAGGCUAGGGGAGCAAACGGG
This 252-nucleotide ribosomal RNA is filed under the name uncultured bacterium. RNAcentral describes it as "partial 16S ribosomal RNA". It matches the Rfam family "Bacterial small subunit ribosomal RNA", at positions 524 to 776 of the family's 1533-position model. The record is from RNAcentral.